This 497-nucleotide ribosomal RNA is filed under the name uncultured bacterium. Its description in RNAcentral is "partial 16S ribosomal RNA". It matches the Rfam family "Bacterial small subunit ribosomal RNA", at positions 28 to 507 of the family's 1533-position model. The record is from RNAcentral.
GAUGAACGCUGGCGGCGUGCCUAAUACAUGCGAGUCGAGCGAACGGACGAGAAGCUUGCUUCUCUGAUGUUAGCGGCGGACGGGUGAGUAACACGUGGAUAACCUACCUAUAAGACUGGGAUAACUUCGGGAAACCGGAGCUAAUACCGGAUAAUAUUUUGAACCGCAUGGUUCAAAAGUGAAAGACGGUCUUGCUGUCACUUAUAGAUGGAUCCGCGCUGCAUUAGCUAGUUGGUAAGGUAACGGCUUACCAAGGCAACGAUGCAUAGCCGACCUGAGAGGGUGAUCGGCCACACUGGAACUGAGACACGGUCCAGACUCCUACGGGAGGCAGCAGUAGGGAAUCUUCCGCAAUGGGCGAAAGCCUGACGGAGCAACGCCGCGUGAGUGAUGAAGGUCUUCGGAUCGUAAAACUCUGUUAUUAGGGAAGAACAUAUGUGUAAGUAACUGUGCACAUCUUGACGGUACCUAAUCAGAAAGCCACUGCUAACUACGUG